CUCGGAAGUCCCUGAACAUUACAUGAUUGACGGUGCUGUGGAGGACAUCGUUGGAGUGGAGGAGUUGGCAGAGGACGUCAAAAUACAAGAAAGCCUGAGGAGCAUUGUCAGCGACAGUGUUUCCAAAAAACAGGAGAAAGCAAAGGGCAGAGCACAACACCUUGGCACUGUGUUUAAACCUGGUGACCGAGUGUGGAGGCAGAACAUACGCAGUCAGCAGAGAAAAGGUGGGAAAUUGGAUGCUGGUUUUCUCGGACCCUAUACAGUCAUCAGUAUCCAAGGCAAAAAUGCAGAUAUUCAAGAUGAUAAUGGUGUGAUAUUCCGGAAGAUAAACACUGACCAUCUGAAAAUCUGCAUUAAAGAGAGUCCCCGACUGCCACAUUGUUUAAAAAAUCAAGGAAGCAAAAUAAAUUUUGCUCAAUCCCUGGCUGAUGCAGCACUACCGCCUUAUGAUCCAGCAUCACCCCCCUCUGCUCCAGCAUCACCCCCCUCUGCUCCAGCAUCACCCCUCUCUGCUCCAGCAUCACCUCCCUCUGCUCCAGCAUCACCUCCCUCUGCUCCAGCAUCACCUCCCUCUGCUCCAGCAUCAUCUCCCCCUGCUCCAGCAUCAUCUCCCCCUGCUCCAUCAUCUGCUACCCAGAGAAAAUCUCUAGCAGAGAAAUAUGUGCAUGAUGCUUUUACUGGAAAAAACGUCUUUGUCCUUCUGUCAAAAGUGAAUGCAUAUAAGUUGUUUUACUUUGACAUGAAUAAAAUUGGUCCUGACAUGGAACUGGAGAGUCGGGUAGGUACAAUGACUACAUUGUUUUCAAAUAUCACAGCUGUUACAGUAUUUAACUAAUCUUUUUUCUUGUAAUACAUUUGCAGUCUAUUAAUGCAUUUCUGGCCGUCAUCGUGAAGGAAUACAACAGCAAGAACACAGGACAGGCUGUGUUCAUAGAUUCAUUUGCAAUGACAGCAAUGUGGCAGGGAAAAAGUCCUAGAUUAAAAAAGAUGAACCCAAUGAAUUAUGAAAUAAUUCUGGGAAUCAACAAUCAACACCACCACUGGACUUUAGUGGUGAUCUACCCACAAGACAAAAAGUCUUUGUUCUUGAAUCCACUGGGGGAAUCAAAACAAGACAUCCAGAAAUGCUUGCAAAUCACAAGGGCAUUUAUGAGGAAGAAGGGGUGCAAUGUCUCACGUUGGACAUGUGACACAGUCAAGCAUCCAAAACAACAGGAUAGCUCAUCAUGUGGUGUAUUUUCACUGAAGUUUGCAGAAAAAAUCCUGUCAAAAGAGGUUGUGGAUUUUCCUGUUUCCAGAGAGGCGGUCCACAGCAUGAGGUUGGAAAUUGCUGUGAGACUAAUCCUUAACAGUGGUGAGGAUAACAUUAAUAUUCUUAUUUUGAGUGUUUAUGACAAUUGUUAUCAUGAUUACUAUUAUUUGUAUGUUUGGCUAAAACAUCUGUACUUAGCAAAACUUAAUACAUUAACAUGGACUCUGAAAACAUUUAUUUAAGGAAAUUGUUUGUCUACAAAUUAAUAAGUACAAUCAUUUCAUCUUCUAUAUUUUUUUCAUAAAUGACUGUGUUGGUGCUUAGCACAUCCUGUGUAAUAGUUUUAUACACACACAAACACACAUAUAUACGGUCACGAUUGUACAUGUAUAAUCGUGUGUGUGUGUUUUUAUACUUUUGUUGUUAACAGAGGACCUAAAAGACUUGUGUCACUUCUGUGGAGAGAUGGAAAGUGACACGGAUGUGAACUGGGUAGGAAAGUUUUUAGAAUUAUUCAAAGACUUAGUGUUAGUAAACUAAAUGAAGAGGACAAGUUUUAUCUAAUCUUAUCUUGCGUAAACAAGCUAUGAUAUGAUCCUCCAACAGUUGGAAUAUAAAGGAAUCUAAAAUGAUUGAUUAUAUAUUGUAAUUGUAAAGACAUAUUUUUCUAAAAAAAACCUGAUAUUUUUGGUUUCUUUCCUAGAUCCAGUGUGACGUGUGUCUGAGGUGGUUCCAUCAUGCAUGUGUGGGAAGCCCACCAACUGAAAAAACAUAUCACUGCUUUGCGUGUUUGCCUUAGUUGCCUUUGUUCCUGAGAUUGCUGUGGUGUGCUUGUUUAUGUAUGUUGUUUAAAGGUUAAUAAAUUACAUUUUGAAAACUGUUUGAUAUUUAUACUUACAAGACUUUGAUAUAAGGCAGCUAUGGAAAAAAGUUUAAAUCCCAAGGCCCCUCAUAACUUUGUCAAAUAAAGAGCAAAUGUUA
RNA transcript from Xiphophorus couchianus (Monterrey platyfish), 2236 nucleotides. It is a transcript of the gene named lysine-specific demethylase 5B-like, with no coding region annotated. The transcript is spliced from 7 exons. NCBI's taxonomy places the organism in Eukaryota, Metazoa, Chordata, Actinopteri, Cyprinodontiformes, Poeciliidae. The record is from RefSeq and is a predicted model, not a curated record.